Molecule: non-coding RNA, 30 nt
Filed under: Rattus norvegicus (Norway rat)
Lineage: Eukaryota; Metazoa; Chordata; Mammalia; Rodentia; Muridae
Source: RNAcentral
AUCUGUGAAAUGAGGGAGUUUGACUAGAGC